UUUAAUUUGUUUUUGUCUGUCAGGCAGCUAAAUAUCUUCCUUUAAAUCCUUUCUGUUUGAUGGAAAAUAGUGAAAAAGAUAGAUCAUGCAGCUCUCGCUAACUACUUUUUGGAAAAAGUUUAUAUUCUGAAGUCCUUCUUGCCACCUCUCUUUACUCAAGGAUGGAAGGGCUCUGGUGACAGGAUACGAGGAUUUGGAUCACUUGGUGAGAAGCAGUAGGUGGAAAGAAUUAAGGAUUGAGUUAUUGCGCAGGAAAAAGGAAAAGCUGAUAAUGAAAAUAGGAAAUUGCUCAAUUCUCUUUUUCUCUUCAUCAUUAUAUCAAGCUAAUAUUAAAGGCAGAAUCAAUACAUCUGAGCCUUUAUGGAAAAUGCUACAGCUUAAUAAGGCCUCUAGCAGAAAUGUGCUUGUUUCAU
Gallus gallus (chicken) is the source of this 413-nucleotide long non-coding RNA. Lineage: Eukaryota; Metazoa; Chordata; Aves; Galliformes; Phasianidae. The record is from Ensembl.